GACGAACGCUGGCGGCGUGCCUAAUACAUGCAAGUAGAACGCUGAAGGAGGAGCUUGCUUCUCCGGAUGAGUUGCGAACGGGUGAGUAACGCGUAGGUAACCUGCCUGGUAGCGGGGGAUAACUAUUGGAAACGAUAGCUAAUACCGCAUAACAGUAGAUGUUGCAUGACAUUUGCUAAAAAGGUGCAAUUGCAUCACUACCAGAUGGACCUGCGUUGUAUUAGUUAGUUGGUGAGGUAACGGCGCACCAAGGCGACGAUACAUAGCCGACCUGAGAGGGGGGUCGGCCACACCGGGACUGAGACCCCGCCCCGGCUCCUUCGGGAGGCAGCCGUAGGGGAUCUUCGGCCAUUGACGGAAGGCUUACCGAGCAACGCCGCGUGAGUGGAGAAGGUUCUCGGAUCGUAAAGCUCUGUCGUAAGGGGAGAACGAGUGUGAGAGUGGAAAGUUCACACUGUGACGGUACCUUACCAGAAAGGGACGGCUAACUACGUG
Molecule: ribosomal RNA, 495 nt
Filed under: uncultured bacterium
Lineage: Bacteria
Description: partial 16S ribosomal RNA
Rfam family: Bacterial small subunit ribosomal RNA
Source: RNAcentral